This 245-nucleotide ribosomal RNA is filed under the name uncultured bacterium. RNAcentral describes it as "partial 16S ribosomal RNA". It matches the Rfam family "Bacterial small subunit ribosomal RNA", at positions 91 to 334 of the family's 1533-position model. The record is from RNAcentral.
AUGAGUGGCGAACGGGUGAGUAACACGCGAGUAACCUGCCCUCUUCUUUGGGAUAACGCCCGGAAACGGGUGCUAAUACUGGAUAUUCACUGAUCUUCGCAUGGGGGUUGGUGGAAAGGUUUUUUCUGGUGGGGGAUGGGCUCGCGGCCUAUCAGCUUGUUGGUGGGGUGAUGGCCUACCAAGGCUUUGACGGGUAGCCGGCCUGAGAGGGUGACCGGUCACAUUGGGACUGAGAUACGGCCCAG